GAGCUGUGCGGCCAGGUCGGGAUGCUGCUGGAAUUUAGCGUGUACCAGGCGCAUCAUGCCAGAGAGGCGCUCGAUGUUCUAAUCGGGGCGCAGCUCA
Molecule: transfer RNA, 97 nt
Filed under: Dictyobacter halimunensis
Lineage: Bacteria; Bacillati; Chloroflexota; Ktedonobacteria; Ktedonobacterales; Dictyobacteraceae
Description: Dictyobacter sp. S3.2.2.5 tRNA-Ala
Source: RNAcentral